GGCUGCAUAGCUCAGUUGGUUAGAGCGCGGCUCUCAUAAGGCCGAGGUCCCGAGUUCAAUUCUCGGUGCAGCCA
Molecule: transfer RNA, 74 nt
Filed under: Candidatus Pacearchaeota archaeon
Lineage: Archaea; Nanobdellati
Description: tRNA-Met
Rfam family: tRNA
About the family: Transfer RNA (tRNA) molecules are approximately 80 nucleotides in length.
Source: RNAcentral